Molecule: ribosomal RNA, 393 nt
Filed under: Herbaspirillum sp. AC32
Lineage: Bacteria; Pseudomonadati; Pseudomonadota; Betaproteobacteria; Burkholderiales; Oxalobacteraceae
Description: bacterial SSU rRNA
Rfam family: Bacterial small subunit ribosomal RNA
Source: RNAcentral
CUGAAGAGAUUUGGGAGUCGCUCGAAAGAGAACCGGUGCGCACAGGUGCUGCAUGGCUGUCGUCAGCUCGUGUCGUGAGAUGUUGGGUUAAGUCCCGCAACGAGCGCAACCCUUGUCAUUAGUUGCUACGAAAGGGCACUCUAAUGAGACUGCCGGUGACAAACCGGAGGAAGGUGGGGAUGACGUCAAGUCCUCAUGGCCCUUAUGGGUAGGGCUUCACACGUCAUACAAUGGUACAUACAGAGGGCCGCCAACCCGCGAGGGGGAGCUAAUCCCAGAAAGUGUAUCGUAGUCCGGAUUGGAGUCUGCAACUCGACUCCAUGAAGUUGGAAUCGCUAGUAAUCGCGGAUCAGCAUGUCGCGGUGAAUACGUUCCCGGGUCUUGUACACACCG